AUUGAACGCUGGCGGCAGGCCUAACACAUGCAAGUCGAACGGUAGCACAGAGAGCUUGCUCUCGGGUGACGAGUGGCGGACGGGUGAGUAAUGUCUGGGAAACUGCCCGAUGGAGGGGGAUAACUACUGGAAACGGUAGCUAAUACCGCAUAACGGCUUCGGACCAAAGUGGGGGACCUUCGGGCCUCACACCAUCGGAUGUGCCCAGAUGGGAUUAGCUAGUAGGUGGGGUAAUGGCUCACCUAGGCGACGAUCCCUAGCUGGUCUGAGAGGAUGACCAGCCACACUGGAACUGAGACACGGUCCAGACUCCUACGGAAGGCAGCAGUGGGGAAUAUUGCACAAUGGGCGCAAGCCUGAUGCAGCCAUGCCGCGUGUAUGAAGAAGGCCUUCGGGUUGUAAAGUACUUUCAGCGGGGAGGAAGGCGAUGGAGUUAAUAGCUUCAUCGAUUGACGUUACCCGCAGAAGAAGCACCGGCUAACUCCGUGCCAGCAGCCGCCGCUG
This 504-nucleotide ribosomal RNA is filed under the name uncultured bacterium. RNAcentral's name for it is "partial 16S ribosomal RNA". It matches the Rfam family "Bacterial small subunit ribosomal RNA", at positions 30 to 523 of the family's 1533-position model. The record is from RNAcentral.